This 1425-nucleotide ribosomal RNA is filed under the name Indocnemis ambigua. Its description in RNAcentral is "eukaryotic LSU rRNA". It matches the Rfam family "Eukaryotic large subunit ribosomal RNA", at positions 592 to 1722 of the family's 3401-position model. Lineage: Eukaryota; Metazoa; Arthropoda; Insecta; Odonata; Platycnemididae. The record is from RNAcentral.
AGGAAGCGAGAAGUCGACGCGCCGAAAGGCGUCCGGCCCUCCGCGAGCACCCGCGGGGGUUCGGGUUUCGGACCCGGUCCGUUCCCGUUCCCACCGAGGGGCUGUCCGCGAUCAUGGAGGUGUCCUCGGACGGCGUCGAAGUCUCCGGUCCGCGACGCUACGGCUUGGAUGGUCCACCCGACCCGUCUUGAAACACGGACCAAGGAGUCUAACAUGCGCGCGAGUCGUUGGGUCGGACACGCUCCGCUAAACCCAUAGGCGCAAUGAAAGUGAAGGCUGCCGUCCGGUGGCCGAGGGAGGACGGGGCCGCAGAGGGCGCUCCGGCGUCCUCCGGUCCCCGCACCCCCGGGGCGUCUGAUCCCUCAUCGCGAGGGGAGGCGCACCCAGAGCGCACACGUUGGGACCCGAAAGAUGGUGAACUAUGCCUGGCCAGGACGAAGUCAGGGGAAACCCUGAUGGAGGUCCGUAGCGAUUCUGACGUGCAAAUCGAUCGUCGGAGCUGGGUAUAGGGGCGAAAGACUAAUCGAACCAUCUAGUAGCUGGUUCCCUCCGAAGUUUCCCUCAGGAUAGCUUGCGCUCGGAGGAGAGUCUCAUCCGGUAAAGCGAAUGAUUAGAGGCCUUGGGGCCGAAACGGCUUCAACCUAUUCUCAAACUUUAAAUGGGUGAGAACUCCGGCUUGCUCGACUUAUCGAAGCCGGAGACGGGGUCCGCUCUUCGGGGCGGGCCCCCGGGAUCGGAGUGCAUAGUGGGCCACUUUUGGUAAGCAGAACUGGCGCUGUGGGAUGAACCAAACGACGGGUUAAGGCGCCCGAAUCGACGCUCAUGGGAAACCAUGAAAGGUGUUGGUUGCUUAAGACAGCAGGACGGUGGCCAUGGAAGUCGGAAUCCGCUAAGGAGUGUGUAAUAACUCACCUGCCGAAGCAACUAGCCCUGAAAAUGGAUGGCGCUGAAGCGUCGUGCCUAUACCCGGCCGUCGCGGCAGGGCGGACCCGACCUCGGUCGGGUGCCGUUUGAUGCGGCGACGAGUAGGAGGGUCGCGGCGGCGCGCGCAGAAGGGUCUGGGCUCGAGCCUGCCUGGAGCCGCCGCCGGUGCAGAUCUUGGUGGUAGUAGCAAAUACUCCAGCGAGGCCCUGGAGGACUGAUGUGGAGAAGGGUUUCGUGUGAACAGCCGUUGCACACGAGUCAGUCGAUCCUAAGCCCUAGGAGAAAUCCGACGCCAACGGCGACGGGAAAAAUUUGAAAACGAGAAAGAAACCCGUUGAUCGGGCGAAAGGGAAUCCGGUUCCUAUUCCGGAACCCGGCAGCGGAACCGCUGUUUGUCGGGCCCUCACAAGGGGUUCGUCAGGGUAACCUAAAAGGGCCCGGAGACGCCGUCGGGAGCCCCGGAAAGAGUUUUCUUUUCUGCAUGAGCGUUCGAGUUCCCUG